AGAAACAUAAUGCUUUAGCAUAGUUCAUGCAUCAUGACUGCUAUGAUAUGUAUUAGGGUGAUUGCAUUAGAAUCACGAAUAUGAAGCAUUGCAUAUUAUGUGAUCAGAGAUGAGGUGGACCCAGGCGACUCCAAUAGCCUAAGCUUCGGCUCCUGUCAUUGUGUCAGGUCAGUUGGGCAAGUACAUGUUGGAAUGCCCUGUGUAGCUCCUUUGGGGGGGCCAGUAUUGACAGAGGGUAUUUUUGGGGUCAUGUCUACCUUAGUGGAGAUUGGACCAAGGCGACUUCACUA
RNAcentral lists this long non-coding RNA (290 nucleotides) under Manihot esculenta (cassava). RNAcentral describes it as "long non-coding RNA (MESC_LNC010146)". Lineage: Eukaryota; Viridiplantae; Streptophyta; Magnoliopsida; Malpighiales; Euphorbiaceae. The record is from RNAcentral.